GGGUUGUGAGGUUAAGCGACUAAGCGUACACGGUGGAUGCCCUGGCAGUCAGAGGCGAUGAAGGACGUGCUAAUCUGCGAAAAGCGACGGCGAGGUGAUAUGAACCUUUGACCCGUCGAUGUCCGAAUGGGGAAACCCAGUGUGUUUCGACACACUAUCGUUAACUGAAUACAUAGGUUAACGAGGCGAACCGGGGGAACUGAAACAUCUAAGUACCCCGAGGAAAAGAAAUCAACCGAGAUUCCCCCAGUAGCGGCGAGCGAACGGGGAGCAGCCCGGAGUCUGAAUCAGCUUGUGUGUUAGUGGAAGCGUCUGGAAAGUCGCACGGUACAGGGUGACAGUCCCGUACACGAAAAUGCACAGGUUGUGAACUCGAAGAGUAGGGCGGGACACGUGGUAUCCUGUCUGAAUAUGGGGGGACCAUCCUCCAAGGCUAAAUACUCCUGACUGACCGAUAGUGAACCAGUACCGUGAGGGAAAGGCGAAAAGAACCCCGGCGAGGGGAGUGAAAAAGAACCUGAAACCGUGUACGUACAAGCAGUGGGAGCACCUUCGUGGUGUGACUGCGUACCUUUUGUAUAAUGGGUCAGCGACUUAUAUUCUGUAGCAAGGUUAACCGUAUAGGGGAGCCGCAGGGAAACCGAGUCUUAACUGGGCGUUAAGUUGCAGGGUAUAGACCCGAAACCCGGUGAUCUAGCCAUGGGCAGGUUGAAGGUUGGGUAACACUAACUGGAGGACCGAACCGACUAAUGUUGAAAAAUUAGCGGAUGACCUGUGGCUGGGGGUGAAAGGCCAAUCAAACCGGGAGAUAGCUGGUUCUCCCCGAAAGCUAUUUAGGUAGCGCCUCGUGAACUCAUCUUCGGGGGUAGAGCACUGUUUCGGCUAGGGGGCCAUCCCGGCUUACCAACCCGAUGCAAACUACGAAUACCGAAGAAUGUUAUCACGGGAGACACACGGCGGGUGCUAACGUCCGUCGUGAAGAGGGAAACAACCCAGACCGCCAGCUAAGGUCCCAAAGUCAUGGUUAAGUGGGAAACGAUGUGGGAAGGCACAGACAGCCAGGAUGUUGGCUUAGAAGCAGCCAUCAUUUAAAGAAAGCGUAAUAGCUCACUGGUCGAGUCGGCCUGCGCGGAAGAUGUAACGGGGCUAAACCAUGCACCGAAGCUGCGGCAGCGACACUAUGUGUUGUUGGGUAGGGGAGCGUUCUGUAAGCCGUUGAAGGUGUGCUGUGAGGCAUGCUGGAGGUAUCAGAAGUGCGAAUGCUGACAUAAGUAACGAUAAAGCGGGUGAAAAGCCCGCUCGCCGGAAGACCAAGGGUUCCUGUCCAACGUUAAUCGGGGCAGGGUGAGUCGACCCCUAAGGCGAGGCCGAAAGGCGUAGUCGAUGGGAAACAGGUUAAUAUUCCUGUACUUGGUGUUACUGCGAAGGGGGGACGGAGAAGGCUAUGUCAGCCGGGCGACGGUUGUCCCGGUUUAAGCGUGUAGGUGUGUGUUCCAGGCAAAUCCGGUUCACUUUAACACUGAGGCGUGAUGACGAGGCACUACGGUGCUGAAGUGAUAAAUGCCCUGCUUCCAGGAAAAGCCUCUAAGCAUCAGGUAACACGAAAUCGUACCCCAAACCGACACAGGUGGUCAGGUAGAGAAUACCAAGGCGCUUGAGAGAACUCGGGUGAAGGAACUAGGCAAAAUGGUGCCGUAACUUCGGGAGAAGGCACGCUGAUAUGUAGGUGAAGUCCCUGCGGACGGAGCUGAAAUCAGUCGAAGAUACCAGCUGGCUGCAACUGUUUAUUAAAAACACAGCACUGUGCAAACACGAAAGUGGACGUAUACGGUGUGACGCCUGCCCGGUGCCGGAAGGUUAAUUGAUGGGGUUAGCGGCAACGCGAAGCUCUUGAUCGAAGCCCCGGUAAACGGCGGCCGUAACUAUAACGGUCCUAAGGUAGCGAAAUUCCUUGUCGGGUAAGUUCCGACCUGCACGAAUGGCGUAAUGAUGGCCAGGCUGUCUCCACCCGAGACUCAGUGAAAUUGAACUCGCUGUGAAGAUGCAGUGUACCCGCGGCAAGACGGAAAGACCCCGUGAACCUUUACUAUAGCUUGACACUGAACACUGGUCCUUGAUGUGUAGGAUAGGUGGGAGGCUUUGAAGCGUGGACGACAGUCUGCGUGGAGCCGUCCUUGAAAUACCACCCUUUAAUGGCUGGUGUUCUAACGUGGACCAGUGAUACGGGUGGCGGACAGUGUCGGGUGGGUCGUCAGACUGAGGCGCUGUACUCCCAAAGAGUAACGGAGGAGCACGAAGGUUAGCUAAUCCUGGUCGGACAUCAGGAGGUUAGUGCAAUGGCAUAAGCUAGCUUGACUGCGAGAGUGACGGCUCGAGCAGGUGCGAAAGCAGGUCAUAGUGAUCCGGUGGUUCUGAAUGGAAGGGCCAUCGCUCAACGGAUAAAAGGUACUCCGGGGAUAACAGGCUGAUACCGCCCAAGAGUUCAUAUCGACGGCGGUGUUUGGCACCUCGAUGUCGGCUCAUCACAUCCUGGGGCUGAAGUAGGUCCCAAGGGUAUGGCUGUUCGCCAUUUAAAGUGGUACGCGAGCUGGGUUUAGAACGUCGUGAGACAGUUCGGUCCCUAUCUGCCGUGGGCGCUGGAGAAUUGAGGGGGGCUGCUCCUAGUACGAGAGGACCGGAGUGGACGCAUCACUGGUGUUCGGGUUGUCAUGCCAAUGGCACUGCCCGGUAGCUAAAUGCGGAAGAGAUAAGUGCUGAAAGCAUCUAAGCACGAAACUUGCCCCGAGAUGAGUUCUCCCUGAGACUUUAAGUCUCCUGAAGGAACGUUGAAGACGACGACGUUGAUAGGCCGGGUGUGUAAGCGCAGCGAUGCGUUGAGCUAACCGGUACUAAUGAACCGUGAGGCUUAACCUUACAACGCCGAAGCUGUU
Molecule: ribosomal RNA, 2930 nt
Filed under: Enterobacter bugandensis
Lineage: Bacteria; Pseudomonadati; Pseudomonadota; Gammaproteobacteria; Enterobacterales; Enterobacteriaceae
Description: bacterial LSU rRNA
Rfam family: Bacterial large subunit ribosomal RNA
Source: RNAcentral